ACAAAGUGACAGGUGGUGCAUGGUUGUCGUCAGCUCGUGUCGUGAGAUGUUGGGUUAAGUCCCGCAACGAGCGCAACCCUUAAGCUUAGUUGCCAUCAUUAAGUUGGGCACUCUAGGUUGACUGCCGGUGACAAACCGGAGGAAGGUGGGGAUGACGUCAAAUCAUCAUGCCCCUUAUGAUUUGGGCUACACACGUGCUACAAUGGACAAUACAAAGGGCAGCUAAACCGCGGGGUCAUGCAAAUCCCAUAAAGUUGUUCUCAGUUCGGAUUGUAGUCUGCAACUCGACUACAUGAAGCUGGAAUCGCUAGUAAUCGUAGAUCAGCAUGCUACGGUGAAUACGUUCCCGGGUCUUGUACACACCGCCCGUCACACCACGAGAGUUUGUAACACCCGAAGCCGGUGGAGUAACCAUUUAUGGAGCUAGCCGUCGAAGGUGGGACAAAUGAUUGGGGUGAAGUCGUAACAAGGUAGCCGUAUCGGAAGGUGCGGCUGGAUCACCUC
Molecule: ribosomal RNA, 504 nt
Filed under: uncultured bacterium
Lineage: Bacteria
Description: bacterial SSU rRNA
Rfam family: Bacterial small subunit ribosomal RNA
Source: RNAcentral